Molecule: unclassified non-coding RNA, 404 nt
Filed under: Hevea brasiliensis (rubber tree)
Lineage: Eukaryota; Viridiplantae; Streptophyta; Magnoliopsida; Malpighiales; Euphorbiaceae
Source: RNAcentral
UGAUGCGUUUAACGUGGCCACUUCCUGUCCAGUAGCAACUCCAUUUGAGCUGCUACAGUUCACUCUAUCUUCAGCUGAAUCAGUAGUUUCGUUGAAGAAAUUGUAGUGAUCGUACCGUAGAAAACAUCCGUCGAGAUAUAUUCGACCGGAUUUACCCGGAAGACAACGAGGAAGUCGAGUUCGACUAGCAGCGUAGCAUAGAAGACAGUCCUGAUGUGGUAGAUCCUGAUAACAAUUUGCUAAUGCAUAAAUUGAUAUAUUUGUUGAAUUUACACCGUGGUUUCCCCAAUUGUUAUCCGUCACGCGUUGUGAAACAACUUCCAUUAGUUUAACAAAUUGGGGAAUAAUGAUCGCCGCUGUUGUCCUGUUCGUGCCGCAUAUUAGUCCAGAUUCUGAAAUUCGAG